Molecule: ribosomal RNA, 478 nt
Filed under: uncultured bacterium
Lineage: Bacteria
Description: bacterial SSU rRNA
Rfam family: Bacterial small subunit ribosomal RNA
Source: RNAcentral
UGCGAACUCCUACGGGAGGCAGCAGUGGGGAAUCUUCCGCAAUGGGCGCAAGCCUGACGGAGCAACGCCGCGUGAGUGAAGAAGGUCUUCGGAUCGUAAAGCUCUGUUGACGGGGACGAACGUGCGGAGUGCGAAUAGCGCUUUGUAAUGACGGUACCUGUCGAGGAAGCCACGGCUAACUACGUGCCAGCAGCCGCGGUAAUACGUAGGUGGCGAGCGUUGUCCGGAAUCAUUGGGCGUAAAGGGAGCGCAGGCGGGCCGGUAAGUCUUACUUAAAAGUGCGGGGCUCAACCCCGUGAUGGGAGAGAAACUAUCGGUCUUGAGUACAGGAGAGGAAAGCGGAAUUCCCAGUGUAGCGGUGAAAUGCGUAGAUAUUGGGAAGAACACCAGUGGCGAAGGCGGCUUUCUGGACUGCAACUGACGCUGAGGCUCGAAAGCCAGGGGAGCGAACGGGAUUAGAUACCCCGGUAGUCCUAUC